AACGUAGGAGACAAACGUUAUCCGGAGUUACUGGGCGUAAAGGGCGUGUAGGUGGUUUCGUAAGUCUGGCGUGAAAUAUCUCGGCUUAACCGAGGCAGGUCGUCGGAUACUGCGGGACUAGAGGACGGUAGAGGCGUGUGGAAUUCCGGGUGUAGUGGUGAAAUGCGUAGAGAUCCGGAGGAACACCAGUGGCGAAGGCGACACGCUGGGCCGUACCUGACACUGAUGCGCGGACAGCAUGGGGAGCAAACAGG
Molecule: ribosomal RNA, 254 nt
Filed under: uncultured bacterium
Lineage: Bacteria
Description: partial 16S ribosomal RNA
Rfam family: Bacterial small subunit ribosomal RNA
Source: RNAcentral